RNAcentral lists this ribosomal RNA (475 nucleotides) under unidentified nematode Sourhope farm. Its description in RNAcentral is "SSU rRNA". It matches the Rfam family "Eukaryotic small subunit ribosomal RNA", at positions 58 to 531 of the family's 1831-position model. The record is from RNAcentral. Lineage: Eukaryota; Metazoa; Nematoda.
UCUAAGUAUAAUGCCAGACAGGGAAACUGCGUACGGCUCAUUACACCAGCCUUAAUUUACUUGACCUUGACAACCUACUUGGAUAACUGUGGUAAUUCUAGAGCUAAUACAUGCACCAAAGCUCCGAUCCUCGCGGAGAGGAGCGCAUUUGUUCGCCACAAAACCAAGCCCCCAUCUGGGCGUCCAGUGCUGAACCAGAACAACUCAGCUGAUCGCACGGUCUUGUACCGGCGACGUGUCUUUCAAGUGUCUGCCUUAUCAACUUUCCAUGGUAGUGUACCUGACUACCAUGGUUGUGACGGGUAACGGAGGAUAAGGGUUCGACUCCGGAGAAGGGGCCUGAGAAAUGGCCACUACGUCUAAGGAUGGCAGCAGGCGCGCAAAUUACCCACUCUCAACGCGAGGAGGUAGUGACGAGAAAUAACGAGACCGUUCUCAUACGAGGCCGGUUAUUGGAAUGGGUACAAUUUAAACC